GUAGUCUUUACCAGCCUGAUAUCUGUCUUCUGCUCACUGACAACAGAGGAGAGGCAUCUUUAAAGACGACGUCCGUCUUCAUUAGAGAUGAGAGGAGCAGCUAUGAGUUUAACUGCAGCAGCGAGUGGAUUUGUUGUCUUCCUUCUCUCUGUGUCAGUGAUACAGGGUCAGCAUGGCUGGGGAGUGACUUACACCUCUACUCAGAUCUGUGCUGUAAAAGGAUCAACAGUGAACAUACCCUGCAGCUACACAUACCCAUCCUGGUGGAAAGGUGUUGCUAAUACAGUUAAGUGGAGAUUCUGGUUUAUUCAACAGUUUGAGGAUCUGACAACAGUCUCAGAGUAUUCAGGUCGUGUGCAGUAUCACUCUGAAAACAAGGACUGCUCUCUGAGAAUCUCAGACCUGAGAGAGAGAGACUCAGCUGAGUACAAGUUCAGGUUCACAACAAACCAAGAUGGUUAUACUGGUUUUCCU
Long non-coding RNA from Sander lucioperca (pikeperch), 474 nucleotides. RefSeq lists it as uncharacterized. NCBI's taxonomy places the organism in Eukaryota, Metazoa, Chordata, Actinopteri, Perciformes, Percidae. The record is from RefSeq and is a predicted model, not a curated record. The transcript has 3 exons.